GAGGGUGUAGCUCAGUAGUAGGGCAAGUGCUCAGCAUGCACGAGCUCCUGGGUUCAAUCCCCAGUACCACCA
RNAcentral lists this transfer RNA (72 nucleotides) under Camelus bactrianus (Bactrian camel). It matches the Rfam family "tRNA". From Rfam's summary of the family: Transfer RNA (tRNA) molecules are approximately 80 nucleotides in length. Their secondary structure includes four short double-helical elements and three loops (D, anti-codon, and T loops). RNAcentral also lists the same sequence under 2 other names. Lineage: Eukaryota; Metazoa; Chordata; Mammalia; Artiodactyla; Camelidae. The record is from Rfam by way of RNAcentral.